Phalacrocorax carbo (great cormorant) is the source of this 478-nucleotide non-coding RNA. NCBI's taxonomy places the organism in Eukaryota, Metazoa, Chordata, Aves, Suliformes, Phalacrocoracidae. The record is from RefSeq and is a predicted model, not a curated record.
ACAGCCCUGCGAUGCUGCGGUGCCUGCGAGGUGAUGCCGCCGUGCUCGUUGCUGCUUCCUGGUAAGGAAAGGCCUCCUCCGCUCCUGCUGCAGCGUGGUGGUGUGUCGGACACGAUUCCCUGUGUCGGGUGAGGCCUAGGGCUGCCGGCGAGGUGGAGGACGGCCUAGAGUCUGGAGCUGCAGAAGAGGCAGGGCGGAGAGGAGGGGAAAGAAGCAUCUGAACGGCUAAAUUGUGCCAGCAGCGCUGAGAGCGAGAGUCGCGAGACCGUGCUGAGGACGUGGUUGUCUGUCCUUCCCCCGGGGAUGCCGUUGACUGCAGCCGUCUCAGGCUUGCGUGGCUUCUCUCUGCCCGGCGUUGCCAUCCUCGCAGCGCGGGGGCGAAAAGGGACACACAGAGCCCUUCCCGGCUGUGGACAGGAGCUGCCUCGGCUGAAGCUGGAGACGCCAACGAAAGGUAAAGCAGAAGAAACUGAAGGCG